CUCUCUCUGUCUCUCUCUCCAUCAAACAUUGGAAAAGGACCUUUCGUUUCACACACAGAUGAAAUAUUUUAAAAAAAGCAGAAAAAGAAUACUUGCCCACUCUGUUCUGUGUUCUUUGUGAGUGCUUUGCUCCGUAUGCUUCUUGGGUGAGU
This 152-nucleotide long non-coding RNA is filed under the name Callithrix jacchus (white-tufted-ear marmoset). RNAcentral's name for it is "lncRNA (ENSCJAG00000070870.1)". The record is from RNAcentral. Lineage: Eukaryota; Metazoa; Chordata; Mammalia; Primates; Cebidae.